RNAcentral lists this ribosomal RNA (493 nucleotides) under uncultured bacterium. Its description in RNAcentral is "partial 16S ribosomal RNA". It matches the Rfam family "Bacterial small subunit ribosomal RNA", at positions 28 to 523 of the family's 1533-position model. The record is from RNAcentral.
GACGAACGCUGGCGGCGUGCUUAACACAUGCAAGUCGAACGCUGAAGCCCUUUCGGGGGUGGAUGAGUGGCGAACGGGUGAGUAACACGUGGGUAAUCUGCCCUGUACUUCGGGAUAAGCCUUGGAAACGGGGUCUAAUACCGGAUAGGACCUGUCCUCGCAUGGGGGUGGGUGGAAAGUUCCGGCGGUAUGGGCGGAGCCCGCGGCCUAUCAGCUUGUUGGUGGGGUAGUGGCCUACCAAGGCGACGACGGGUAGCCGGCCUGAGAGGGUGACCGGUCACACUGGGACUGAGACACGGCCCAGACUCCUACGGGAGGCAGCAGUGGGGAAUCUUGCGCAAUGGGCGAAAGCCUGACGCAGCAACGCCGCGUGGGGGAUGACGGCCUUCGGGUUGUAAACCUCUUUCGACAUCGACGAAGGGGCCCUGUUGUGGGGUUUUGACGGUAGGUGUAGAAGAAGCACCGGCUAACUACGUGCCAGCAGCCGCCGUAA